RNAcentral lists this RNase P RNA (315 nucleotides) under Tolypocladium ophioglossoides CBS 100239. RNAcentral describes it as "Nuclear RNase P". It matches the Rfam family "Nuclear RNase P", at positions 48 to 301 of the family's 301-position model. Rfam says of the family: Ribonuclease P (RNase P) is a ubiquitous endoribonuclease, found in archaea, bacteria and eukarya as well as chloroplasts and mitochondria. The record is from Rfam by way of RNAcentral. Lineage: Eukaryota; Fungi; Ascomycota; Sordariomycetes; Hypocreales; Ophiocordycipitaceae.
GGCAAUUUAUUGGCAUGUGAGAAAUUCGGAGUAACUCUUCACCGCGCCCGCCUGCUCUUUUCCCUGCUCGCACUUCGGGGCGCAGACGGGAGGGAGCUCGUGGGAAGGCCACCGCUGUCGCUCGCUUGCAUGCGAGAGGACGGGUCUGCCCGUGAGGGCUCGGCGUCACUCGACGCCAGCAAUAUGGCAUCAGAAAUACCAGGGUCCCCCGGAAGAGGGAUACCCUAUGGGAAGCCGUUGCGGAGAUUGUGUUUUGACACUUGAGUGCGAUGCGUGGCGUGGCGGAAGCCAUGAUUCGAUUCCGAUUAUUCUGUU